AUUGGACGCUGGCGGCAGGCCUAACACAUGCAAGUCGAACGGUAGCACAGAGAGCUUGCUCUCGGGUGACGAGUGGCGAACGGGUGAGUAAUGUCUGGGAAACUGCCCGAGGGAGGGGGAUAACUACUGGAAACGGUAGCUAAUACCGCGUAACGUCGCAAGACCAAAGUGGGGGACCUUCGGUCCUCACACCAUCGGAUGUGCCCAGAUGGGAUUAGGUAGUAGGUGGGGUAAUGGAUCACCUAGGUUACGAUCCCUAGCUGGUAUGAGAGGAUGAACAGCCACACUGGAACUGAGACACGGUCCAGACUCCGACGGGAGGCAGCAGUGGGGAAUAUUGCACAAUGGGCGCAAGCCUGAUGCAGCCAUGCCGCGUGUAUGAAGAAGGCCUUCGGGUUGUAAAGUACUUUCAGCGGGGAGGAAGGCGGUGGAGUUAAUAACUUCACCGAUUGACGUUACCCGCAGAAGAAGCACCGGCUAACUCCGUGCCAGCCGCCGCAGUAA
This 504-nucleotide ribosomal RNA is filed under the name uncultured bacterium. RNAcentral's name for it is "partial 16S ribosomal RNA". It matches the Rfam family "Bacterial small subunit ribosomal RNA", at positions 30 to 523 of the family's 1533-position model. The record is from RNAcentral.